Eucalyptus grandis is the source of this 2147-nucleotide RNA transcript. RefSeq lists it as uncharacterized. Lineage: Eukaryota; Viridiplantae; Streptophyta; Magnoliopsida; Myrtales; Myrtaceae. The record is from RefSeq and is a predicted model, not a curated record. The transcript is spliced from 10 exons.
UAUAAAUUUCGGUGACUGAAUACGACCAUUGCAAAAUCAAGCGAAGAAGGAGACCCUCUCUCUCUCUCUCGCUCUCUCGCCGAGCUUGUAAAAGCCCUAGCUGAAGGAAUCUUAUGGAGGCAAAGUACAAAACACAUAGGCAAAGGAAAGUGGUCAUUCUGGACUUGUGGCGUUCUGGAUCCCCCAAAUUCGUCAGGUUCUUUCAGGCUAAUCAUCAGGUGUGAAUUUGAUAUGCUGCAGGGCUGCAGGGCUGCAAGAUGUGAUUUACACUUCCACUCAUUUGUCAUUCCAAUGGUGGGACUUUUUAGCUACACCAAUGAGGAUUUGUUCUACUGAUACUCUAUUUCGACUUUCCAGCAUGCAGUCAUGAACAGGAUUAGCAGUGUUACACAAAGAUAUGAAGCGUCACUUCCAGGUGGUGGUGGAGAUGGAGUGGUCCCGGUGGUUGGGGCUGGCAGCUACCAGACGGACGGAGUUUUGGCAUUAGUUAAGACAAAACGUUGAUUAGGCGUUCCCAGGUUCUCCAGAGGCAAAGGGUCAGUGGAUCCUUCAACUUUGAAGAUUCCGCGGGAAACAAAUUGCUGUGAGUCGCGAGAAUGUAGUUGAGAUUUGCAGGACCUUUCGAGUUCGAAACAUCUGGGGCUAUCAUGUGUUGCCAAUCACAAGAGUCUGAUAUUCGUGGUUGCACUUCCCUUGGAAGAUUAUUGGAUCUAUCAUGCUUGAAAACCCUGAUAAUACUGAACAUCAACCACUGUGAAGAGCAAGAUGAUAUUCAAAGCCUAGAGGCACACUGGCUUAUAUGUGAUAUUAAUACGGUUGAAAUUACAGAAUGUUGAAAGAACAAGCAGAUCUUUAAGAAAAUCCCUUUGACCUAGUCAUCUCAGUUUCUUAAGGUAAUUUGGUGAUUGACAUGUGGAUUAUUAAGGAAGCUUCUGGAGGCAAAGUACAAAAACACAUAGGUGAAGGAGAGUGGUCAUGCUGCUGGACUUGUGGCACUCUGGAUUCCCAAAACUCAUCGGGUUCUUUCAAGCUAAUCAUCAGGCAUGAAUUUGAUAUGCUGCAAGGUUGCAAGAGAAGCUUCUGGAGGCAGAGUACAAAAUCACAUAGGCAAGGAAGAGCGGUCAUGCUGCUGGGCUUGCGGCCCUCGGGAUCCCCACAAUGCAUUGGGUUCUUUCAAGCUAAUCAUCAGGACUAGCAGUGUUACACGGAGAUAUGAAGUGUCACUUCCAGGUGGUGGCGGAGAUGGAGUGGUCCCAGUGGUUGGGGCUGGUAGCUACAGGGAUCCAGCUAGACUGGAGUUGGGGGCAGUGUAAUUUUCACUGACAGUGACAGCUAAUUUUUGGCCUUGAGAGCAACGAUCACUGUUAGCAUAGGUGUAGACAGAGAUGCCCGCAGGGGUUCCCUUAACAUCGCAAGCAUAACUGUCAGACAGUCUACUGGGGCAUCAUUACGUUUUGGAGCAAGUUGAUGAUGAGGAAGCUGAGAUGGUUUUGAUUGGAAGGAUUUUGUCGAAGAAGUGCUUGAGUCAAGCUGCGUAACUGAUGUCUCAAGGAAAGCCUGGGCUGGUCUUGGGUGGGAUAACUAUAAAAUGAGAAGAUGUAUUUGUUUACGUUCCAUGGAUUGGCACCAAGCAGAGAGUCCUCACUUCUGGCCCUUGGUCAAUCAUGGGAAAUUGCAUAGACUUGCAGAGAUGGGAUGCUUAGAGGAGACAGGAGGACCUCUGUUUUCGUGAACUGGAGGUGUGGCUGCAAAUACAUAGAUUGGCCUUCAACCAAAUGACAGAACAAUGCGAAACCUAUUGCUUGUUUGGCACACAAACUGGUGAAAGUUGAGUCAAUUCACACCAAAUCUCGGGGUCGCCUUCGUGCUAAAGUCGCAUUCAUGUUCAAAAACCCCUCGUACCUGCAACGUGGAGUGUUAGGGAUAGUCGUGGCAUUGGGUAGAGAUUCGAUACGGGUUAACACCAAACUUUAGUUGUUCUUGUAAUCAUUGGCCACACUGGGAAGCUAUGUGACAAUGAAGUUCUUAUGUCUGCAGCUGUGGUUAGACAACCUAGAUAUGAUCCUUGUAAUCUCAUGGGGUUUAAGUUCGCUACACUUGACAAGAAGCAUUAAUUUCAAGAAAAACAUAUGUGAAUUGCACCAGCA